GCUUAUUGUGCUCUUCCGCUACUACAUCUUGAUAUGAAAUUAACAUGAGUAAAAAUAACGUGGCUGUGUGACAGGGUCUAUCGCCUCAAGCCGAGGUAGCAGCACGGGCUUUUGUGCAAUUGUUAGCCAGGAAGCUGUCCGCGCCUGCUGCUUCCACCUCGUCGCACUUGGGCAGAAACCAACCACCAGUCAGGGCAGUGAGCACACCAGUCAGGGCUGGAGACAGUGCCCAACCUGUGACCAAUAAUGAUAGGGUGAGGCAGGCCAUGCGAAGGCAAUUUCCGAGUAUGUUUGGUGAGCAGCCAAGAGUGAAAAAAAGAUUCACUUCUCCUGCUCCUGCCCCCUGCGUUGUUAAAAGGACAGAUUUUAAUAUGUAUAUCCUUUCGGGACCCAGCCAGUUCACUCCAAAGGGCUCUGAAGAGCUAGAACAUGCACAUGCUGGCCUGGGAAAGAGGAUUCUCAGUAUACCAGACAACCUCAUACACAGUGAGAAUGGGCAUUGAUCUUCACAAUGGAGCAGCUGGUCCAACGAGAGAGGAACAACCAGGACCUUCAGUGCCACGCCCACGAUUAGCGCCAUCUUCUUCAGAAGGUUGUUUCUUCGUAACUAUCACUGCUGUGGUGUACUAUGAAACUAGAAAAACGUUUUAGCCAUAAAUGAGAAAUCUUGCUACAAAAUGAUCCAGUCAUUUUAAAAGGAACAUUGAUUUCAGUUCCUGCAGUUAAUAUAUUGCUUUAAAAUGCUGGGCUUCCAGAAUGUCACUGAAAGGCAUACAAUUUCUGAACUUCCCUGCACCAACAACUUUUUUUUAUUUUCUUCUUUUUAGCAUGGGCCACUGAAGUAGACCCCCAGAAAGCUUGUGAGUUGUUCAGAGAAAAUCUCCUGGACCGUAGCUCUGAAUGUCCAAGCCUCCUCCUCUCUCUCAACAUGUUUGAAGAAGAACAGGACAGUUCAUUUAUUUCAUUCUAUAAAAGGAAUGAUGUUAACUGGGCAAGUCCAUUCAGGUGCAGGCUGAGAGGUAUAAAAAAACAGCAAAACUUAUUUAUUUUCAGCAGAGGCAUUAUCAACUGAAUUUUUACUCAAAAUUGCAUAAUGAGGUUUUAGUGCAUGUUACUUUAUCCAUGGAAGACAGAAUUUGUUGCGCUUGUUGUAGUUUAAUCUUAAGUGUGUAGCACAAUAGCCGUAUAAUGUGGUUGCUUGUACUCUUCUUCUGUAUUCAUCUUUAUUUUAAUAGGAGAUGCAGCAGUCGGCGAUGGUGUCAACCGACAUGUUUUGUC
This 1278-nucleotide long non-coding RNA is filed under the name Gadus morhua (Atlantic cod). RNAcentral describes it as "lncRNA (ENSGMOG00000035174.1)". Lineage: Eukaryota; Metazoa; Chordata; Actinopteri; Gadiformes; Gadidae. The record is from RNAcentral.